This 230-nucleotide ribosomal RNA is filed under the name uncultured bacterium. RNAcentral describes it as "partial 16S ribosomal RNA". It matches the Rfam family "Bacterial small subunit ribosomal RNA", at positions 563 to 791 of the family's 1533-position model. The record is from RNAcentral.
GUAAGCGUGCGCAGGCGGUAUGUAAGACAGAUGUGAAAUCCCCGGGCUCAACCUGGGAACUGCAUUAGUGACUGCAUAGCUGGAGUACGGCAGAGGGGGAUGGAAUUCCGCGUGUAGCAGUGAAAUGCGUAGAUAUGCGGAGGAACACCGAUGGCGAAGGCAAUCCCCUGGGCCUGUACUGACGCUCAUGCACGAAAGCGUGGGGAGCAAACAGGAUUAGAUACCCCAGU